AUGAACGCUGGCGGCGUGCCUAAUACAUGCAAGUCGAGCGAACGGACGAGAAGCUUGCUUCUCUGAUGUUAGCGGCGGACGGGUGAGUAACACGUGGAUAACCUACCUAUAAGACUGGGAUAACUUCGGGAAACCGUAGCUAAUACCGGAUAAUAUUUUGAACCGCAUGGUUCAAAAGUGAAAGACGGUCUUGCUGUCACUUAUAGAUGGAUCCGCGCUGCAUUAGCUAGUUGGUAAGGUAACGGCUUACCAAGGCAACGAUGCAUAGCCGACCUGAGAGGGUGAUCGGCCACACUGGAACUGAGACACGGUCCAGACUCCUACGGGAGGCAGCAGUAGGAAAUCUUCCGCAAUGGGCGAAAGCCUGACGGAGCAACGCCGCGUGAGUGAUGAAGGUCUUCGGAUCGUAAAACUCUGUUAUUAGGGAAGAACAUAUGUGUAAGUAACUGUGCACAUCUUGACGGUACCUAAUCAGAAAGCCACGGCUAACUACGUG
RNAcentral lists this ribosomal RNA (496 nucleotides) under uncultured bacterium. RNAcentral's name for it is "partial 16S ribosomal RNA". It matches the Rfam family "Bacterial small subunit ribosomal RNA", at positions 29 to 507 of the family's 1533-position model. The record is from RNAcentral.